CCCAUGCUCAUGGGUUGGCAGGAUUAAUAUAGUAAAAAUGGCCAUUUUGCCCAAAGCAAUCUACAGAUUAAAUGCAAUCCCCAUCAAAAUUCAAUUCUACAUAGAGUUAGAAAGAGCAAUUUGCAAAUUCAUUUGGAAUAACAAAAAACCCAGGAUAUCGAAAACUCUCCUCAACAAUAAAAGAACUUCUGGGGGAAAUCACCACCAAAGUUCCUUUGUAAAAGGUAAGUGAAAAUUAAUUCAGGAUUCUUUCAGGAAUCUAAAUUCUCCUUGUAGGACAUUCUCAACCAGGUGCCCCUAGUUUUUGUUUUUGUUUUGGUGUUUCUUAUAAUACUUGGUAAUGUCACUUUAUUAACCUGAAAUGAGAUUCCCAGAUCAGUAUAAUCUACAUUCUUAUAAUUUUAAGGAAAGACUGUAAAUGUAAUGCCCUAACUAUGAUAUAAAGAAUAAAAUGAAUUUAUGAAAAUG
RNAcentral lists this long non-coding RNA (468 nucleotides) under Rattus norvegicus (Norway rat). RNAcentral's name for it is "long non-coding RNA NONRATT020627". Lineage: Eukaryota; Metazoa; Chordata; Mammalia; Rodentia; Muridae. The record is from RNAcentral.